AGAGUUUGAUCAUGGCUCAGAAUGAACGCUGGCGGCAGGCCUAAAACAUGCAAGUCGAACGCCCUAGCAAUAGGGAGUGGCGCACGGGUGCGUAACAUGUGGGAAUAUGCCUUUUGGUACGGAACAACUUUUGGAAACGAAAGCUAAUGCCGUAUGGUCCCUUCGGGGUAAAGAUUUAUCGCCAAAAGAUUAGCCCGCACUGGAUUAGCUAGUUGGUGAGGUAAUGGCUCACCAAGGCGACGAUCCAUAGCUGGUCUGAGAGGACGAUCAGCCACACUGGGACUGAGACACGGCCCAGACUCCUACGGGAGGCAGCAGUUAGGAAUAUUGGACAAUGGGCGCAAGCCUGAUCCAGCCAUGCCGCGUGAGUGAUGAAGGCCUUCGGGUUGUAAAGCUCUUUAGCCGAUGAUUAUAAUGACUGUAGUCGGAAAAUAAGCCCCGGCUAACUUCGUGCCAGCAGCCGCGGUAAUACGAAGGGGGCGAGCGUUAUUCGGAAUCACUGGGCGUAAAGCGUGCGUAGGCUGUUUGGCAAGUUGGAAGUGAAAGCCCAGGGCUCAACCCUGGAAUUGCUUUCAAAACUGCCAGACUCGAAUCCGGGAGAGGAUAGCGGAAUUUCCAGUGUAGUAGUGAAAUACGUAGAUAUUGGAAGGAACACCAGUGGCGUAAGCGGCUAUCUGGACCGGCAUUGACGCUGAGGCACGAAAGCGUGGGGAUCAAACAGGAUUAGAUACCCUAGUAGUCC
RNAcentral lists this ribosomal RNA (742 nucleotides) under uncultured bacterium. RNAcentral describes it as "bacterial SSU rRNA". It matches the Rfam family "Bacterial small subunit ribosomal RNA", at positions 8 to 796 of the family's 1533-position model. The record is from RNAcentral.